Molecule: non-coding RNA, 2472 nt
Organism: Oryzias latipes (Japanese medaka)
Lineage: Eukaryota; Metazoa; Chordata; Actinopteri; Beloniformes; Adrianichthyidae
Source: RefSeq, a predicted model, not a curated record
UGUUGUUGUGAGGCAAUCUUUGCUGCUGCUGAUCUGUACAGUAUUUGGUGGAAUCCUGCUCCUGUUGCUCUUCGUCUUGUUCCUGGUCUAUCUCGUCCACAGGAGAAGAAAACCCAAACAGCCAGCGGUUCUUUUCCAGACUCAAAGGUUCACCAGAGAGGACCGAGGGAUUUGUGAGGCAGAACACGAAAAUCUUCCAGGAGAACCCUUUCCAUCUCAACCUACGAACAAAGCAGAUGAAGACAAAGGAAUUGAUUAUGGAGAUGAGACAAAUCUUAAUGAAGAAUUUAGUCCACCAUCAUUAAUGUAGAGCACGAGUGCUAAGAAUGAAAAACAAACAGAGGAAAAAAAGGAGGAAAACAAAGAAACCAGCGAUGACAAAACCUACUGUAACAUUGUGACUUUGCCUGUCCAGUAAACUGUUCAGUUAUGGUUUAAUCUGGCUCUGAUUUAGGAUUUACAGCUUUGUUUGGUUUGUUCCCAGAUCCAAGACUUUUGCUUAACCCUUUAACACCAGAGCUUUAGUUCCAGUGUUGACAUUCCAUGACUUACUGUGACUCUUUAACCAUUUAUGUAAUAAACAUAAUUGCAACAGAUUACACAUAUAAGCAAUAUGUGCAAUAGAUAUUUUCACAGUUGUAAAUUGAAAAUGGAAAGUUAAUUCUUUAUGUCACUCAAUGAACCUUUUUGCGGUCAGCAGCUCUGAUGUAGUUCUUCAAGCGACUUAAAAGUUGAUUAUGUCCAAAAAAUAGAGCUGACCAUGGUCCCGAAGAAAAAGAGAGCAAUAAGUGACAAUGAUGGCAUUAAAAUCAAUCCUUGAUGAUUAGCUAGGCUAACUCCUCUCAUGGAGCUAGUGGAGGUGGGCCGAAGACUCCGAUCUCAAAACAAGCAAACAUUCUGGAGAAAAGAGUACCUAAUGGAGAACAAAUCUCUUUUAACAUGACUAUUGUCGUUUUCUUAAAUAGAAUAUAAAACAAGUCUCCAACUAUUUACUUAAAUUCAUGUUUUAUUGGAACUCAGCUGAAAUAUGUGGAAUAAGGUCAACAUAUGCACUAUGGUAGGGCAUUAAUAAGAAGUUUAUGGUAAAUUUUUUUGGGGAUUGCUCAGAAGUGAUUCUGCUUUUUUUGAUGUGUUGAAUUGAAGCACUCUGAACUUUUUUUUCCUCUAAAGUUUGAUAUACAAAAUAAUACCCCUUGUUCAUCUGCUCCAAAAGAAAAACUUCAUAAAGCCACUUUUUUAGUUGUAUUUUGAUCUUUUACUGCACCACAAUGUCACAUGACAUGACAGCACUACCCUGUCUUACUUCUGAUGGUUAGAAGCUGGUGAGAAGUUGGUGCCAUGAAUGACGGGGAGCCACCAUCUGUGUGUAAUGGUGUGUGUGUGCAUGGGGCUGUGAAUGUGACUGUAAAGUACUUUGGGUCUAAAUCAAGAUAGAAAUCACUAUAUUAGUACAGAACUUAAACCAUGUUCUUCAUUUUUUGUUUCUCCUCACAUGUUUUAUUUUUUAUGAAGUGUUGGUGCAUUCUGACCUAUUGUACAUAAUGUCAGGUUGUCUUUUUCACUGUGCUGGGGACUGAAUGCUUGUUUCAAGUUUGUGUUUGUUUUUAACACACCUCAAAUCACUAAAAGACAAUGGGAGUUUGAUUCCCCUGCAUUCUUCCUAGUUUGGAGAAUUUAAUUUAUUGUGAUGGCAGCAUACUCUACCAGUUCUACAGAAAAAUUGGCGGUAAACUUCAGUGCACUUCACACUUGUACUGUUUAUUGUGUUUACAGAUUCAGAAUUUUGAUUUCCUACAAUGAGUAGACUUUUUUAUUUAAGAUUUAUCGUUUGGUGUUUUCAUAAGUCAUUAUCAGUAGCACACUCAUUUUAUUAUUUUGGUACAGUUUACUCAACCUGGUAAUCUGUUUAAUUAACAUCACCGUUUUUUUCAGUUGUCAGUGCUUAAAGGGGCUCCACGUUAUGGGUGUGGCCCAGCUUCUCCUUUUGCAGCUCCGCUGUGAGGCCAAAAGAGGUAAUGCAGGAAGUACAGCCCUAAAAUACUCCAGCCAGGCAGUUGGACUAGUGCUAUCUAAACGAGUUUCCUGCUGAUGAAACAACUGUGUAAUUUAAUGUUUGUGCUUUGGCUAUAAGGGGUUGUUAUGCAUUGGUGUUAAUACAAUUUGCAUGAUAUUAUUUUUUUAUCUGCAGAAUGACAUAGGGACCAAGAAACUUAGUUUUUGUCAUGGUUUGGGUUUUUUUGCCUUUCCAUUUUCUUUCUGUCAUGUUUGAGUUCUGCUUCCUGUUUUAUUUUGUGCCUUGUCAGUCUUCUUUGUAUUUAAGUCUUGUCUCUGCCUUCCUCUUGUGCUGGUGCAUACCGCCAUAUCCCUGAGCCUCUUCUUCCUGUUUACUUGGUUUGUCUACAGUUUGUUGUGUUAGGUUACGCUGCUCAGCAGCACUUUUUGUUUAUGGAAUUAAAACCCCUUGACUUGGAA